GCAAGUCGAACGGUAGAGGGGGCAACCCCUUGAGAGUGGCGAACGGGUGAGUAAUAUAUCGGAACGUGCCCAGUCGUGGGGGAUAACGUAGCGAAAGUUACGCUAAUACCGCAUACGAUCUACGGAUGAAAGCGGGGGACUCGCAAGAGCCUCGCGCGAUUGGAGCGGCCGAUAUCAGAUUAGGUAGUUGGUGGGGUAAAGGCUCACCAAGCCAACGAUCUGUAGCUGGUCUGAGAGGACGACCAGCCACACUGGAACUGAGACACGGUCCAGACUCCUACGGGAGGCAGCAGUGGGGAAUUUUGGACAAUGGACGCAAGUCUGAUCCAGCCAUUCCGCGUGCAGGAUGAAGGCCCUCGGGUUGUAAACUGCUUUUGUACGGAACGAAAAGGUUUCUAUUAAUACUAGGAGCUCAUGACGGUACCGUAAGAAUAAGCACCGGCUAACUACGUGCCAGCAGCCGCGGUAAUACGUAGGGUGCAAGCGUUAAUCGGAAUUACUGGGCGUAAAGCGUGCGCAGGCGGUUAUGUAAGACAGAGGUGAAAUCCCCGGGCUCAACCUGGGAACUGCCUUUGUGACUGCAUAGCUAGAGUACGGUAAAGGGGGAUGGAAUUCCGCGUGUAGCAGUGAAAUGCGUAGAUAUGCGGAGGAACACCGAUGGCGAAGGCAAUCCCCUGGACCUGUACUGACGCUCAUGCACGAAAGCGUGGGGAGCAAACAGGAUUAGAUACCCUGGUAGUCCACGCCCUAAACGAUGUCAACUGGUUGUUGGGUCUUCACUGACUCAGUAACGAAGCUAACGCGUGAAGUUGACCGCCUGGGGAGUACGGCCGCAAGGUUGAUACUCAUAGGAAUUGACGGGGACCCGCACACGCGGUGGAUGAUGUGGUUUAAUUCGAUG
Molecule: ribosomal RNA, 901 nt
Filed under: uncultured Comamonadaceae bacterium
Lineage: Bacteria; Pseudomonadati; Pseudomonadota; Betaproteobacteria; Burkholderiales; Comamonadaceae
Description: bacterial SSU rRNA
Rfam family: Bacterial small subunit ribosomal RNA
Source: RNAcentral